Molecule: ribosomal RNA, 253 nt
Filed under: uncultured bacterium
Lineage: Bacteria
Description: partial 16S ribosomal RNA
Rfam family: Bacterial small subunit ribosomal RNA
Source: RNAcentral
UACAGAGGGGGCAAGCGUUGUUCGGAAUUACUGGGCGUAAAGGGCGCGUAGGCGGCCUGCUAAGUCGAACGUGAAAUCCCCGGGCUCAACCCGGGAACUGCGUCCGAUACUGGUAGGCUUGAAUUCGGGAGAGGGAUGCGGAAUUCCAGGUGUAGCGGUGAAAUGCGUAGAUAUCUGGAGGAACACCGAUGGCGAAGGCAGGUCCCUGGGCAUUAACUGACGCUGAGGAGCGAAAGCAUGGGGAGCGAACAGG